GACCGUGAGUGGAUGUACACGGGCCGCUCUAGUCAGGAUUCAUUGACCGAUGAAUGGAUUGAAAAGACCGUGCAUUCUUGGAAUGGGCGUUUGCUAGGGUCAAAGGAGCUAGUGUCACUUGGUGUCCGUGCAGUAGAUGUGCAAACAUGCGUCGAAAAACCAAGCUAGAAAUGGGCAAACAUCUUGUGAAGAACGGAUUUACGUCAUACUACAC
Molecule: long non-coding RNA, 214 nt
Filed under: Setaria viridis
Lineage: Eukaryota; Viridiplantae; Streptophyta; Magnoliopsida; Poales; Poaceae
Description: long non-coding RNA (SVIR_LNC010950)
Source: RNAcentral